CAACACAUCACAACAAAUCACAUCUCGGAUGGUAUUGUCACCAAUAGUCCUCUACAUAGUCCAACUGUGCCGGGACGUAGAAUGGGUACAACCGGUCUUUCCCUUAACAUAACAUAACAUAUCAUACAGUCCAACUGUGCCAGGGACGUAGAAUGGGUACAACCUGGACUUCCUCUUACAUCGUGCCAGGGACGUAGAAUGGGUACAACCUGGACUUCCAUACCAUAUCAUGCCAUAACAUCAUCAUAUCAUAUGAGGACUAAAGGAUCAUCCAAUGACCAAUCCACAUCAACAUCAUAAAUGCAAUGCAACAUAUUCGUGAAUACUAAUGCAAACAACCUACUAUAUCUCAUGGCAAUUCAUGAUGCAUGGAUCAUGCUAAAAAAUUCAUAUUUCAUUUAUUUUAAAACUUAAAGUUUAUUCCACUCACCUCUGGCUAGCUCUGACAAACUCUGUAGCAGCUGGCUCACUGCUGGGGUCCUCGGUUCCUCGGGUCCGAACCUACACGGGUGGACUCCAAUGAGGGACCAAACAUACAUAAACAUAACUCUAAUAUACUCCCCAAAAACCC
RNAcentral lists this long non-coding RNA (571 nucleotides) under Manihot esculenta (cassava). RNAcentral describes it as "long non-coding RNA (MESC_LNC010779)". The record is from RNAcentral. Lineage: Eukaryota; Viridiplantae; Streptophyta; Magnoliopsida; Malpighiales; Euphorbiaceae.